UACGUAGGGUGCAAGCGUUGUCCGGAAUUAUUGGGCGUAAAGAGCUCGUAGGCGGUCUGUCGCGUCUGCUGUGAAAACUCGGGGCUUAACCCCGGGCCUGCAGUGGGUACGGGCAGCCUAGAGUGCGGUAGGGGAGACUGGAAUUCCUGGUGUAGCGGUGAAAUGCGCAGAUAUCAGGAGGAACACCGGUGGCGAAGGCGGGUCUCUGGGCCGUAACUGACGCUGAGGAGCGAAAGCAUGGGGAGCGAACAGG
RNAcentral lists this ribosomal RNA (253 nucleotides) under uncultured bacterium. Its description in RNAcentral is "partial 16S ribosomal RNA". It matches the Rfam family "Bacterial small subunit ribosomal RNA", at positions 524 to 776 of the family's 1533-position model. The record is from RNAcentral.